Molecule: transfer RNA, 57 nt
Filed under: Steinernema kushidai
Lineage: Eukaryota; Metazoa; Nematoda; Chromadorea; Rhabditida; Steinernematidae
Description: tRNA-Tyr
Source: RNAcentral
AGGGGUUUAGUUUAAUCUGAAAACGUCAGACUGUAAAUCUGGAAAUUUUAAUCCUUG